This 301-nucleotide ribosomal RNA is filed under the name uncultured bacterium. Its description in RNAcentral is "partial 16S ribosomal RNA". It matches the Rfam family "Bacterial small subunit ribosomal RNA", at positions 509 to 807 of the family's 1533-position model. The record is from RNAcentral.
CAGCCGCCGCGGUAAAACGGAGGGUGCAAGCGUUAUCCGGAUUUACUGGGUUUAAAGGGUGCGUAGGCGGACUUGUAAGUCCGAGGUGAAAUCUCUGAGCUUAACUCGGAAACUGCCUUGGAUACUAUAGGUCUUGAAUCUCGUUGAGGUUUGCGGAAUAUGUCAUGUAGCGGUGAAAUGCUUAGAUAUGACAUAGAACACCUAUUGCGAAGGCAGCAGGCUAAACGAAUAUUGACGCUGAUGCACGAAAGCGUGGGGAUCAAACAGGAUUAGAUACCCGCGUAGUCCCUGUCUCUUAUAC